UAUGCGGGCGUAGAAGGUUCUUAAAGUUUUGGGAAGGGAAGGGGGCGCCGAAAUGGAAGGUUGGUUGGUGGUGAUACGGUUAGAGCCAAUGAAAGGGAAGGUGUGUCAGAGUGAGUUGACUGUAGAAAGAAAGAAACAAGAAACCUCGGUUUCCGUUCCCCCAAAUCCAAAAUCUGUCAUGGAAUCUCGCAAACUAGCCGCCAUACUCUCCUCCCUCAUCUCCCAACUCCUCCUCCUCCUCCUUCACAUUUUCCCAUCCAAUCCCAAUCCCAAUCCCAAUUCCCAUUCCCUACUCCCACUGCUCCUCUACUCCCAACAUCUCAACACAACCCUCGCGCUCACCCUCACCCGCAAACGCAAACGCAAACGCAAACGCAAACGCAAUUCCCUAGAAGCGCUUCUCCCAACCCCCAAUCCCCUCACCCGCACCCCAGACCCCUUCCGCAACACCUUCCUCAUGACCUCCUCCACAUUCGAGUGGCUCUCCGGCCUCCUCGAGCCACUCCUCGACUGCCGAGACCCAGCCCAUCUCCCGCCCCUCAACCUCCCCGCCCCACUCCGCCUGGCCAUCGGCCUCUCCCGCCUGGCCUCCGCCUCCGACUACCCCUCCCUGGCCGCCCGCUUCUCCGUCCCCCUCCCCGUCGCCAAGUUCUGCGUCAAACACCUCUGCCGCGUCCUCUGCACCAACUUCCGCUUCUGGCUCUCCUUCCCCCCCGACCUCCGCCAAGUCUCCCUCCCCUUCCACUCCCUCUCCUCCCUCCCCAACUGCUGCGGCAUCCUCUUCUGCGUUCGCUUCCACUCCCUCGCCGCCCAGCUCGUCGUCGACUCCUCCCUCCGCAUCCUCACCCUCGCCGCUGGCUUCCCCUCCCACAAAUCCAAUUCCCAAAUCCUCAAAUCCUCCUCCCUCUUCUCCGACAUCCAAAACGGAACCCUCCUCAAUGCCCCCUCUCGCCAAUACCUUAUCGCCGAUUCCCACUACCCUCUCCUCCCCUGGCUCAUGGUCCCCUUCCCCCACCCUCUCCCCUCUUCUCUCCAACACAACUUCAACGCCGCUCACCGCCUCAUGCGCCUUCCCGCCCUCAGAACCGCCGCCAGCUUGAGGAACUGGGCCGUCCUCUCCCAACCCCUCGCCGAGGACCCUAAGAUGACCGUCGCCUACAUCGCCGCCUGCUCCAUUCUUCACAAUUGUUUGCUCAUGAGGGAGGAUUUCUCCGCCCUCGCUUCCGAAUUUCAAGACUCCCACACUGCGCCUUCCACGCCUCAUGAUGAGCCCGUCUCUUCUCAGGCUUUGGCUUUCCGUGACUCCUUGGCCGCCAUCGCCACCAAAACUCCUCAUUCCAGUUCUUGAUUCGCUUGAGGCAGGGGGGACAGGCACGUAACAUAUAGUUUAUUGCCUAUAUCUUGCUUCAACCUGACAAUCCAGCAUACAGGACCUGUCAUGAUGACAUAUUUUCGUAAUUACAGAUCAGAAGCAUUAUAUACCUAACUGCACCAGUUACCAAAGACCUGUGGGAAAAUUCGAUUCUGAAAAGUGAAACCCCAGUUCUUGUCAUAUUCUAUGCAAAUUGGUGUGACCGUCGCCUACAUCGCCGCCUGCUCCAUUCUUCACAAUUGUUUGCUCAUGAGGGAGGAUUUCUCCGCCCUCGCUUCCGAAUUUCAAGACUCCGAGACUGCACCUUCCACGCCUCAUGAUGAGCCCGUCUCUUCUCAGGCUUUGGCUUUCCGU
RNA transcript from Cajanus cajan (pigeon pea), 1726 nucleotides. It is a transcript of the gene named protein ALP1-like, with no coding region annotated. NCBI's taxonomy places the organism in Eukaryota, Viridiplantae, Streptophyta, Magnoliopsida, Fabales, Fabaceae. The record is from RefSeq and is a predicted model, not a curated record.